Molecule: ribosomal RNA, 488 nt
Filed under: uncultured bacterium
Lineage: Bacteria
Description: partial 16S ribosomal RNA
Rfam family: Bacterial small subunit ribosomal RNA
Source: RNAcentral
AACGCUGGCGGUAGGCCUAACACGUGCAAGUCGAACGGCAGCACAGUAAGAGCUUGCUCUUACGGGUGGCGAGUGGCGGACGGGUGAGGAAUACAUCGGAAUCUACUUUUUCGUGGGGGAUAACGUAGGGAAACUUACGCUAAUACCGCAUACGACCUACGGGUGAAAGCAGGGGAUCUUCGGACCUUGCGCGAUUGAAUGAGCCGAUGUCGGAUUAGCUAGUUGGCGGGGUAAAGGCCCACCAAGGCGACGAUCCGUAGCUGGUCUGAGAGGAUGAUCAGCCACACUGGAACUGAGACACGGUCCAGACUCCUACGGGAGGCAGCAGUGGGGAAUAUUGGACAAUGGGCGCAAGCCUGAUCCAGCCAUACCGCGUGGGUGAAGAAGGCCUUCGGGUUGUAAAGCCCUUUUGUUGGGAAAGAAAAGCAGCAGGUUAAUACCCCGCUGUUCUGACGGUACCCAAAGAAUAAGCACCGGCUAACUUCGUG